UUUUGAUUGUUGCUCAGAAUGUCAAGUAAAUGAGUGGACAUUCCAAGAACAAUCAAAGUU
This 60-nucleotide microRNA precursor is filed under the name Brachionus plicatilis. RNAcentral describes it as "Bpl-Mir-315_pre stem-loop". The record is from RNAcentral. Lineage: Eukaryota; Metazoa; Rotifera; Eurotatoria; Ploima; Brachionidae.